UACGAAGGGGGCUAGCGUUGUUCGGAAUUACUGGGCGUAAAGCGCACGUAGGCGGAUCUUUAAGUCAGAGGUGAAAUCCCAAGGCUCAACCUUGGAACUGCCUUUGAUACUGGGGAUCUUGAGUCCGGAAGAGGUGAGUGGAACUGCGGGUGUAGAGGUGAAAUUCGUAGAUAUUCGCAAGAACACCAGUGGCGAAGGCGGCUCACUGGUCCGGUACUGACGCUGAGGUGCGAAAGCGUGGGGAGCAAACAGG
Molecule: ribosomal RNA, 253 nt
Filed under: uncultured bacterium
Lineage: Bacteria
Description: partial 16S ribosomal RNA
Rfam family: Bacterial small subunit ribosomal RNA
Source: RNAcentral